GCGUGUCGGUAAAACUCGUGCCAGCCACCGCGGUUAUACGAAAGACCCUAGUUUACAGACACGGCGUAAAGGGUGGUUAGGGGACAAACAAAAUAAAGCCAAAGACCUCCUAAGCCGUCAUACGCUCACGGAGGCACGAAGCCCAAACACGAAAGUAGCUUUACCAAACAUGCCCGACUCCACGAAAGCUGGGAAACAAACUGGGAUUAGAUACCCCACUAUGA
Molecule: ribosomal RNA, 224 nt
Filed under: Hypostomus commersoni
Lineage: Eukaryota; Metazoa; Chordata; Actinopteri; Siluriformes; Loricariidae
Description: partial small subunit ribosomal RNA
Source: RNAcentral